AUUGAACGCUGGCGGCAUGCCUUACACAUGCAAGUCGAACGGUAACGGGUCCUUCGGGAUGCCGACGAGUGGCGAACGGGUGAGUAAUAUAUCGGAACGUGCCCAGUAGUGGGGGAUAACUGCUCGAAAGAGCAGCUAAUACCGCAUACGACCUGAGGGUGAAAGGGGGGGAUCGCAAGACCUCUCGCUAUUGGAGCGGCCGAUAUCAGAUUAGCUAGUUGGUGGGGUAAAGGCCUACCAAGGCAACGAUCUGUAGUUGGUCUGAGAGGACGACCAGCCACACUGGGACUGAGACACGGCCCAGACUCCUACGGGAGGCAGCAGUGGGGAAUUUUGGACAAUGGGCGCAAGCCUGAUCCAGCAAUGCCGCGUGCAGGAAGAAGGCCUUCGGGUUGUAAACUGCUUUUGUCAGGGAAGAAAUCUUCUGGGCUAAUACCCCGGGAGGAUGACGGUACCUGAAGAAUAAGCACCGGCUAACUACGUGCCAGCAGCCGCGGUAAUACGUAGGGUGCGAGCGUUAAUCGGAAUUACUGGGCGUAAAGCGUGCGCAGGCGGCUUUGCAAGACAGAUGUGAAAUCCCCGGGCUCAACCUGGGAACUGCAUUUGUGACUGCAAGGCUAGAGUACGGCAGAGGGGGAUGGAAUUCCGCGUGUAGCAGUGAAAUGCGUAGAUAUGCGGAGGAACACCAAUGGCGAAGGCAAUCCCCUGGGCCUGUACUGACGCUCAUGCACGAAAGCGUGGGGAGCAAACAGGAUUAGAUACCCUGGUAGUCCACGCCCUAAACGAUGUCAACUGGUUGUUGGACGGCUUGCUGUUCAGUAACGAAGCUAACGCGUGAAGUUGACCGCCUGGGGAGUACGGCCGCAAGGUUGGAACUCAAAGGAAUUGACGGGGACCCGCACAAGCGGUGGAUGAUGUGGUUUAAUUCGAUGCAACGCGAAAAACCUUACCUACCCUUGACAUGUCAAGAAUUCUGCAGAGAUGUGGAAGUGCUCGAAAGAGAACUUGAACACAGGUGCUGCAUGGCCGUCGUCAGCUCGUGUCGUGAGAUGUUGGGUUAAGUCCCGCAACGAGCGCAACCCUUGUCAUUAGUUGCUACGCAAGAGCACUCUAAUGAGACUGCCGGUGACAAACCGGAGGAAGGUGGGGAUGACGUCAGGUCCUCAUGGCCCUUAUGGGUAGGGCUACACACGUCAUACAAUGGCCGGUACAGAGGGCUGCCAACCCGCGAGGGGGAGCCAAUCCCAGAAAACCGGUCGUAGUCCGGAUCGUAGUCUGCAACUCGACUGCGUGAAGUCGGAAUCGCUAGUAAUCGCGGAUCAGCUUGCCGCGGUGAAUACGUUCCCGGGUCU
RNAcentral lists this ribosomal RNA (1352 nucleotides) under uncultured bacterium. RNAcentral's name for it is "bacterial SSU rRNA". It matches the Rfam family "Bacterial small subunit ribosomal RNA", at positions 28 to 1381 of the family's 1533-position model. The record is from RNAcentral.